CACACCCACCGCCUCUCUUCCCUUCUCCCUUAAUCCAAUCUUCAUCUCUCUCACAAACCCAAAUCCAAAUCCAAAUCAAAAUCAAUCAAACUUGUUAUUGAUGUGAUUCAAAUCCCUAAUUCCAUGGGCGAGGAAGUAAAGCUUGACGAAUCCACCGUCUCCGACUGGGAGGCCGGCCUCCCCUCCGCCGCCGAUCUCACCCCCUUAUCUCAGUCCUUGAUCCCACUCGAAUUAGCCUCCGCCUUCCGAAUCUCCCUCGACCCUCCCCGCACCGCCGUCGACGUCGCCCGCGCCUCCCGCACCACGCUCUCCUCCCUCCGCUCCUCCAAUUUCAACCCGCCCGCCGACGACGGAUCCGACCUGAAGAAGCCCCGCCCCGACGAAGACGCCGCCGCCAAGACGCUGAAGCGCCCGCGCCUCGUGUGGACCCCGCAGCUGCACAAGCGGUUCGUGGACGUGGUGGCGCACCUAGGGCUGAAGAACGCCGUGCCGAAGACGAUUAUGCAGCUGAUGAACGUCGAGGGUUUGACUCGCGAGAAUGUCGCCAGCCAUCUGCAGAAAUAUAGGCUGUAUGUGAAGAGGAUGCAGGGGCUUUCCAACGAGGGGCCUUCCCCUUCCGAUCAUCUCUUCGCUUCCACGCCGCUUCCCCCGCAGAGCCUCAAUGAGUCCUCCAGCCAUGGUCCGAACGGAAGUCAUAGCAGUGUUGGUAACGGAAGCAGUGUGGGGAUGCCAAUUCCCAUGCCGCCGCCGCAGAUGAUGGGAAUGCUACACGGCUACCAUGGACACUAUCAGCAGUAUGGUGGUGGUAAUGGUAUGAAUAUGAUGCAGCAGCAGCAGAGGGACUGGUCUGCCCAUAAGUAUAAUGGUUAUUCACAGCAUCACAUGGCUCAAAAUAAUAGCAAUUGUUAGUCUGAGAAUAAAGCUAUGUAUAGCUUCCUUCUUUGAAGACCCAAAAUCAAGGUUGUUCCAAAAGAAGAAACCUAUAGCAUUUCAAAAGUACUGGAUGCCACUGAUUUCAUACAUGGAUUGUUUAUGCUUUCAGUGAAAUGAUUCUCAUCAACUAGUCUUAAAGUCCAUGAUGCCCUGAGCUUGCAGCAUACAUUCAGAUUUUGCGAAGCUUUGUUAUAAUUCAAGAACAGAAAGCCUUGAUUUAUUGCACCUGAUCCUUUGGAAGAGCAACGACUUAUGGCAUUUGGUCUCUGCCCACCAGAGUGAAAUGGGACGAGUUUUUGUGGGUGCAGUGAAGCUAAAAGCUUACAGUCAAAUUAGUCCGGCCGGCUUCAUGCAGAAGUUGUUAGUUUUUCUUUAACUUGCUGUACUGAUAAUUGUGUGUUUCUUUGACAAGCAUGGGUUUAUGAGUUUGGUUUCUGAGAGUCAAGUAUUAAUACCAACUUCUCUAGGAUAAAUCUUACAUUAAACAGAAAUCAAGUCGUCUUCGGUUGCCUUUUUCAUGAUUUUGCAUGCAAAUCUCUUUGACGACCAAAAUAUAGUACUGCUGUUGGUUUGUAUUUUUUGCCUGGUAGAUCCUAUUACAUGGUCUAAAUGAAGAAGAAUGUUGCUCAGACAAUGUUUUAUACAGAUAUGUUAAUGUAGUGAAAGUUGUUAAUUCU
Non-coding RNA from Salvia hispanica, 1610 nucleotides. The record is from RefSeq and is a predicted model, not a curated record. Lineage: Eukaryota; Viridiplantae; Streptophyta; Magnoliopsida; Lamiales; Lamiaceae.